GUACCCAUAGCUUAAUUGGAUAGAGCAUUCGGCUACGAACCGAAAGGUUGGGGGUUCGAUUCCCUCUGGGUGCACCA
Molecule: transfer RNA, 77 nt
Filed under: Clostridia bacterium
Lineage: Bacteria; Bacillati; Bacillota; Clostridia
Also listed under: 1 other name
Description: tRNA-Arg
Rfam family: tRNA
About the family: Transfer RNA (tRNA) molecules are approximately 80 nucleotides in length. Their secondary structure includes four short double-helical elements and three loops (D, anti-codon, and T loops).
Source: RNAcentral